GAGGCAGGCGGUUCUCGUCCGGCAGCGCGUUGCGCCCCCGGGCGCGUUUGGU
Molecule: small RNA, 52 nt
Filed under: Methylovirgula ligni
Lineage: Bacteria; Pseudomonadati; Pseudomonadota; Alphaproteobacteria; Hyphomicrobiales; Beijerinckiaceae
Description: Beijerinckiaceae bacterium BW863 ffh sRNA
Rfam family: ffh sRNA
Source: Rfam by way of RNAcentral